Molecule: ribosomal RNA, 990 nt
Filed under: Mammaliicoccus sciuri
Lineage: Bacteria; Bacillati; Bacillota; Bacilli; Caryophanales; Staphylococcaceae
Description: bacterial SSU rRNA
Rfam family: Bacterial small subunit ribosomal RNA
Source: RNAcentral
GUCGGAUUAGGUGCGUAAGCACUUGGUAAGACGAGCCUAAGGUCUGACUGUGAAUGCCCCACCGUCUCCAGCCGAUGUACGGUCAUUGUAACCUGGGAAAGCCUGUAGUGCAGCAGACGGAGGAGGUGGUAAAUGCCAUGUGUAGCGGCUGAUAAUGCGCAGAGAUACUGGCAUGGAAACAUCCAGCGGUCGAAAGGCGGACUGUCUUGGUCUGUAACCUGACGCUGAUGUGCGAAAGCGUGGCGGAUCAAACAGGAUUAGAUAUCAUGGUAGUCCACGCCGUAAACCGAUGAGUGCUAAGUGUUAGGGGGGUUUCCGCCCCAUUAGUGCUGCAGCUAACGCAUUAAGCACUCCUCCUGGGGAGUACGACCGCAAGGUUGAAACUCAAAGGAAUUGACGGGGACCCCGCACAAGCGGUGGAGCAUGUGGUAUAAUUCGAAGCAACGCGAAGAACCUUACCAAAUCUUGACAUCCUUUGACCGCUCUAGAGAUAGAGUCUUCCCCUUCGGGGGACAAAGUGACAGGUGGUGCAUGGUUGUCGUCAGCUCGUGUCGUGAGAUGUUGGGUUAAGUCCCGCAACGAGCGCAACCCUUAAGCUUAGUUGCCAUCAUUAAGUUGGGCACUCUAGGUUGACUGCCGGUGACAAACCGGAGGAAGGUGGGGAUGACGUCAAAUCAUCAUGCCCCUUAUGAUUUGGGCUACACACGUGCUACAAUGGAUAAUACAAAGGGCAGCGAAUCCGCGAGGCCAAGCAAAUCCCAUAAAAUUAUUCUCAGUUCGGAUUGUAGUCUGCAACUCGACUACAUGAAGCUGGAAUCGCUAGUAAUCGUAGAUCAGCAUGCUACGGUGAAUACGUUCCCGGGUCUUGUACACACCGCCCGUCCCACCACGAGAGUUUGUAACACCCGAAGCCGGUGGAGUAACCUUUUAGGAGUCUAGCCGUCGAAGGUGGGACAAAUGAUUGGGGUGAAGUCGAUCGAGACCACGAGC